GGGCUCACCACAAGUACUGUCAGAAGCUCAUCAGCCACAUUUGGGGCAGUUCUAUGGUCACAACCAAGAGAGAGACCCUUUUUGAUAGGGACCAACGCACCCCUUCCUGCACUGGUGUGGGGAAGGUAAAUGUGUUCUGUCUUUGACCUGCUGCUUUGCUUAAUUCAAUCUAGAUAAAUGUGGCUGUAGCCUGUAACUGUUUACUGGAUGGUAACUACCGACAAGGUCUGCUAGUCUGAAUACAGACCUCAAGCAGCUGAGGAAAGGGAUGCGAUGACAAAGGUAGCUGUAAUAGCAGGAUAAAGGGAAAGCCUCUUCCCUUCCUGUGCUGUUAUAACAAACAAGUGGAUUUAGUCUUUUCCCCAGUGGGAACACCACGUAACAAUAACAGAAAUCACCCCAUAAAUGGCAGCACUCCCAAGUUUCCAUACCCUUCUGGUGCUGUUCGAAGCCCUUUUCGAGCAGAUGCUGCGAUUGUCCCCAACCUUCUGGCAUCUGCCCUUGCACAGUGAGCCCAGCGUAUGUCCCCACACGUGUGCACGCUGGCAUCAACACACUCGUAGUCCUGCAGGUCCUGCUUGGAACGGGUCCUGCUGUUCCCCACUGCAAAUUGUUCCACCUCGCCCUGCUGGAAGGCUGCCCGCACACACACAGGCACAGCGCUUCCAAAAGACCGAGUUGUCCUGAAAAUCUAGCUUAAAGUUUUACUGAUUGUAACAGAAUAACUGGUUUUCACAGAUGAGUAAGAGCAGAUACUGGUGUUUUUAUUAAUUGCUACCAUCAAGCUUCGUUGUACUUUCGAGCUGAAUGAGUGUCUGAGGCUGGAUGGAGCUCAGAGCCUCCCUUCCCACCUGUCUGGGUCAGCCAGUGUGUGGGCAGCUGGCACUGCCCCCACCCCGUUCUUCUGGUCUGUGUGCAUGCAGCAGCUUUCACAGCCCCAAGCUCACCGCUUUUGGCCAGAACUGAAUUCACGUCAGGUGCAUCUGCAGACGUGUGCGGUCAGCCGUUCCAAGAAGGAAAUCACCAUCAGAGAUGCAGAGAAGAAUCAGCCUUUGGUAGGAAAUCACCUCAACUGCUCUCAAGUAGAAAAGGUGCUGCCCCGAGAGGAACCUUUCCGGUUUCGGUUUGCUGCAUUUUCUUCUGAAAAAGAGUGGAAAGUGAGAAGUCCUGGAAGAAUCUCCCAUGGGAAGGCAACGAUGCAGUUACCACUUCCAGCUCCUAUUUGUGCAGAUUUUAAUCAAAACUGCCCAUCAAAGGGGAAAAAAGGACCCCAGAGGCCUUUCUGUAAAUGUCCUCAUGGAACCAGUUGUACUCCUGUGCUUGUAAAUCUCCCCUCUGGCAGUAAGGGAGCAGUGAAUGCCCUGUGCUUCGUGUGGGAUCUGCAGCUAUCCUGUAAGGAAUGCUGCAGCGUUGGAACCGGGGAUGGGCUGCAGUAAGGACACAUUCCUAGGAGCCACAAAGGGUUUGCUGAUAGGGAUCAGGGGCCAUAUAGCCCCUGGCUGCGCUCCAGAGGUGACCACACCGUGGCUAGAGAAAUAAGACCCCCCAGCCCCAAAGCUGUCCAAGCCUGCUGUGAACUGUUUUCAGUAAACCUCAAAAGCCUGAUCUUCUGUACUGCUCCUGUUUACCUUGUCGCCAGUAAACUUCUUGCAUCCGAGACAUUAUUGAAUACCUGGCACACGGAGGCACCUCCUCCUCCCAUUUAUCCCUCUGCACUUUAUUUGCUCUCAUAUCCCUAUAGGUAGCAUUUCUUUACCAUCAGUGGAACAACCAAGUUGCCUCCUGCAGGGGAGUCCAGGUUCACGGUGUGUGCUCGGGGUUACUGAACAGCACCAGAGCUGUUAUUGGCUUCCAGUCAUGCAUGAGAAAACUAAUUGAAGUGCAGACAUUUGGUCUGUCCCACCCUUGAUACAUUACUUAUUUUUCCAGCUCUGAGCUGUUUACACAGCACCUGACAAAGCUGAACUGAAGCAACGGAUUGAGGGGCUGGGGAACGAUGCUGUUUGUAUGGUACUGGAGGAAUCAGGGUUAGCAGGGCACUGAAGGGAAACACUGCCAGUUCACAUACAGUGUACCACUGCCCCUUUAGCACAGCACAGAUUUCAUUAUCCAGGUGGAUAAUAGGAGGAAAGGGAGGGCUAACCUCUAGAAGCCAGAACACAGAUAAGCGAGCUUGCCAGUGUUAGGAGGGGGUGAGCUGGCUCGGACCAGGUACUUUAGGAAUCAGUUUGAAUCCCCUCCAAACCUUGUGUUUUUGGGCCCAGGCAGACAAAGCAAUGCAAUCUUUCAAGCGUUCUCUGUGUUGACACAAACUGCUAAGCUUUGUGCAUGCCAAGAUAAAAAGAGGCAGCUUCCACUAGUCCAUUAUUCAGUGCUAGACAGCUUGAUUAUGAUGGAAACAAAAGACACUUUUGCAAUAUUGACAUUGUGAUCUAU
Molecule: long non-coding RNA, 2436 nt
Organism: Numida meleagris (helmeted guineafowl)
Lineage: Eukaryota; Metazoa; Chordata; Aves; Galliformes; Numididae
Source: Ensembl